GAUGAACGCUAGCUACAGGCUUAACACAUGCAAGUCGAGGGACCGGCGCACGGGUGAGUAACACGUAUCCAACCUGCCCUUUACUCGGGGAUAGCCUUACGAAAGAGAGAUUAAUACCCGAUAUAAAGGAUGGGGAGGCGUUCCAUUAGGUUGUUGGUGAGGUAACGGCUCAGCAAGCCUCCCAUGGAGAGGGGUUCGGGGAGGAAGGUACCCCGCAAUGGAGACGCGGCACGGUCCAAAAUCGUACGCGAGGCAGCGGAGAGGAAGAUAGGUCAAUGAGCGCUAGCCUGAACCAGCCAAGUAGCGUGAAGGAUGAAGUGUUAUGAGACGUAAACUUCUUUUAUAUAAGAAGAUGUAUUAUAUGAAUAAGCAUCGGCUAACUCCGUGCCAGCAGCCGCGGUAAUUC
This 406-nucleotide ribosomal RNA is filed under the name uncultured bacterium. RNAcentral describes it as "partial 16S ribosomal RNA". It matches the Rfam family "Bacterial small subunit ribosomal RNA", at positions 28 to 526 of the family's 1533-position model. The record is from RNAcentral.